CCCCCUCUCACUCUAGCUCUUUGGACAAUUUCCAAAUAGAAUAUCCAGGCUGAGUGGUUCUCCUCCUGAUGAAGAAUAAUCACUGACGUCUGGAAGUGAUGUUUCCGCUGUUUCUCCUCCUGAUUAUGGGUCUCCUGCUUCCAUCUCCAUCCUAGAUUUCACAACAAAGGGCCAUCUAGAAAGAAGCACGCCUUUCACCAGGCUGUCUUCAGUAAUAAAAUCAGAACCGAAGCUUGUUCCCCCCUUUUGCAUGAUGAUGCUGACACCCAGAAGUUUCUCAACAAGCAGAUGUUCCAGAUGUGCAAAUGGAGUGGAAAACAGAAAUGCACACCCACAGGGAAGAAGAUCCACAGCCCUGACAGGGGCUGCUUCACCUCAGUCUCCAACCGUAGACUCCUGUUUGAAAUCAUGGGAGAACGUGAUUGACAGUCCCCUUUGUUUGGGUGUUUACAUUAUAACCAGAAUAACCCUGGUCAACUGAAAAAAAGAAAUCACUUGAUAGGAAUGGCAGAAUGGCUCAGCCAGUAAAGGUUCUCGAUGCCAAGCCUGGAGGUUUGAGUUUGAUCCUCAGGACCCACACGAGGGAAGGAGUAAACCAACAUCUAUAAGUUUUCUCCUGACCUCCACGUAUGCAUAGGGCAUAUGUGGGACCCCAAAGCACACAAUAAAUAAGUAGAUAAAUAAAUGUAAAUUUUAAAUCACUUGACACACAACUUAAACAUAGAAAGUUUAAAGAAAGUUACUCAUGUUAACACCAGGAAAAAAAAAAAAACUAGUACUAAAAGGUUGAUAUUUUUUUUAAGGAUGUUUGGAAUUUUUUGCCAAUUUCUCUAUCUUUUCCAGGCAUUUUUUCUCUUUCACAUUCUGCACUGUCAAAUCCUCUAGUCUGUUCUCUGAACUUUUUAAAAAUCUGUUCUCAUGAAUUUGUCAUAUUUGUCUGAUUUUUUUUCCAGAUAUAUCUCAUCACUGUCUCAAAAGGAAAAAAAAAACUGUCUAUUUAAUCUUCUUUAAAUUUUUCUGUUUCUUCUGUGUGGCCAACUACUUCCGAGGGGUGAGAAUUUGAUUUUCUUUUUAAAAUAUCAAUCCCUCUUUUUUAUUUGCUCACGCUUUUGGGAGGAAGAAAUUGCCAAUGGCAAGUCGAUGGGCACUCAGAAAUCCUGAGUUUAGCUGAAAACCAGUUUGCAGAAUCAAUGUCUAGAGGCUUUCUCAUUAAAUUCUUGUCCUGUGACUCCAUUGCUCCACUGUAGCAUACUGUGAGGCGUGGGGCGCUGGGGUGGGGCUCCCUGGGAGAGGAUACACCAUGCCAUACAUGCUGCCCUUGGUUCCAUCCCCAACAUCUUAGUAGAAAAUCACUUUGUCAGGGCUGAGAGGAGUUUAGCAGUUAAGGGCAUUUGCUGCCCUUGCAGAGAACCUGGGUUUGGUUCCCAGCACCCAUGUCAGGUAGCUCAGCACUGCCUUUAACUCCAGCUGCAGGAAAUCCAACACCCUCCUCAUCUGGCUUCUGCCUACAUGUGGUAUGCACAAACUCACACAGGGUCACACACAUACAUAUACAUAUACAUUUUUUUUAUUUUAAAAAAGAAAACCUAUUUUGAGCCAAACGCUGUCUCAAGCAGUCGAGACACUAAAAUGAAAGCAAAGGAUACACCACUCAAGAAGAAUUAAUAAUGUUGCACCUACUUGUUGACCACCAAUAAUGUGUCAGUCAUUAUUCUAGGUACAUGAACUGGAAGGAAUGUAACAUAGAUAAAAGAAUACAAUAUAGAUAGAUACUAUUGUUUUCCAGUCUGCCACAUUCUGGCUUAUAAACUGCUGAAUCAUCUAAGGGUAGAACAAUAAUGACUCAGUGAUUAAAAGCACUUGUUGUUCUUCCAAAGGACCCAGGCUGAGUUCCCAGCACCAACACAGUGACUCACAACCAUCUAUAACUCAAUUCAAAGGGAACAGAUGCAUUUUCUGGUCUCUGUCAUCACCAAGCAUGUAUGUGAUGCACAGAAAUGUAUGCAGGCAAAAUAGUUACAUAUAUAAAUAAAAUAAAAAUAAACCAUGAUGGGUCAUUGUAUUGGCUAGUUUUAAUGUCAACUAGACACACGCUAGAGUCAUCUGAGGAGAGGGAGCCUCAAUUGAGAAAAUGCCUCCAGAAGAUCAGGCUGGUAAGCCUGAAGGACAUUUUGUUAAUUAGUGAUUGAUGGGGAAGGUCCAGCCCAUUGUGAGUGGUGUCAUCCCCAGCCUGUGGUCCUGGGUUCUAGAAGAAAGCAGACUGAGAAAGCCCUGGAGAGCAAGCCAGUAAGUCUC
RNAcentral lists this long non-coding RNA (2295 nucleotides) under Cricetulus griseus (Chinese hamster). RNAcentral describes it as "lncRNA (ENSCGRG00000025754.1)". The record is from RNAcentral. Lineage: Eukaryota; Metazoa; Chordata; Mammalia; Rodentia; Cricetidae.